Molecule: ribosomal RNA, 122 nt
Filed under: Callithrix jacchus (white-tufted-ear marmoset)
Lineage: Eukaryota; Metazoa; Chordata; Mammalia; Primates; Cebidae
Source: RNAcentral
UUCUACAGCCAUACCACCCUGAAUGCGCCCGAUCUCAUCUGAUCUCAGAAGCUAAGCAGGGUCAGGCCUGGUUAGUACUUGGAUGGCAGAACCAUUAAAAAAUACUCUGAAUAUAGUUUAAA